UGUGAGCGCUCACAGCAGCCAUCACGCAGAUCUAACAAAAUGGCUGCAGAUCUGACCCACAGACUCAUGGGAGCCGAAUAGACAUCUUUCCAAAGACACAGGAAUGGACGGCAGGUUUAGAAAAAGGCUCCACAUACCUAAUCAUGAGGAAAACGCAUUAAAAUCACAGUGAGGCAUCACCUCUCUGGUUAGGAUGAUAACAAAGGCAAACGAAGGAUUUUCUACGGACAUGAAAUUAUUGUUGCAGUUAAGUGCAUGGUAAUCCCCAGAACCCAUGGGAAAGAGAUGGAGGUGUAUGGCUUUGCACUUAUGACAGAAAGUUUCCGGAGACAUAUGCCAUUGCCAACCAAAGCACAACACGCAACCACCACAGUUCUCUGUGCAGGGCAGGUGGCUCUCAUGAUCCCAAGGCUGAAGCUCUGUCCCUCUUCACCCAGCCCAGAGGGAGGCUGAUUUCCAAAGUCCUGUGGGGACUGUGGAGUCAGAGAACGACAGAGGCCUGUGGAGGAGGUAAUUCUGCCCGAAGACCCCAGACGCCCACCUACCCCCACAACCUCCUCACUGGCCCUCACACUCCCAUGUCCUUCCCCGGGUCCAGCCCAGCUGCUGAUGUCCAGGAAGAAAACUUCUGUGACAGGAAGAGGGGGGCACCUGAGGGUGGAGACAGA
This is a long non-coding RNA of Homo sapiens (human), 668 nucleotides long. RefSeq lists it as uncharacterized. The record is from RefSeq and is a predicted model, not a curated record. NCBI's taxonomy places the organism in Eukaryota, Metazoa, Chordata, Mammalia, Primates, Hominidae. The transcript is spliced from 3 exons.